UCCGUAGGUGGUGUGGCAAGUCGGUAGUGAAAUCUCUCGGGCUUAACUGAGAGGCUGCUGCCGAAACUGCCAUGCUCGAGUGCGAGAGAGGCGAGUGGAAUUGCGGGUGUAGCGGUGAAAUGCGUAGAUAUCCGCAGGAACAUCCGAGGCGAAAGCGGCUCGCUGGAUCGCAACUGACGCUGAGGGACGAAAGCUAGGGGAGCAAACAGGAUUAGAUACCCUGGUAGUCCUAGCCCUAAACCAUCAGGACUUGGGGUUUGCCCUGUACGGGGCAAGUCCCGGAGCUAACGCGUUAAGUCCUGCGCCUGGGGAGUACGGUCGCAAGGCUGAA
This 331-nucleotide ribosomal RNA is filed under the name uncultured bacterium. Its description in RNAcentral is "bacterial SSU rRNA". It matches the Rfam family "Bacterial small subunit ribosomal RNA", at positions 568 to 898 of the family's 1533-position model. The record is from RNAcentral.